UGGGGAAUAUUGCACAAUGGGCGAAAGCCUGAUGCAGCAACGCCGCGUGAGUGAUGAAGGUCUUCGGAUUGUAAAGCUCUGUCUUUUGGGACGAUAAUGACGGUACCAAAGGAGGAAGCCACGGCUAACUACGUGCCAGCAGCCGCGGUAAUACGUAGGUGGCGAGCGUUGUCCGGAUUUACUGGGCGUAAAGGGUGCGUAGGCGGAUGUUUAAGUGAGAUGUGAAAUACCCGGGCUUAACUUGGGUGCUGCAUUUCAAACUGGAUAUCUAGAGUGCAGGAGAGGAGAAUGGAAUUCCUAGUGUAGCGGUGAAAUGCGUAGAGAUUAGGAAGAACACCAGUGGCGAAGGCGAUUCUCUGGACUGUAACUGACGCUGAGGCACGAAAGCGCGGGUAGCAAACAGGAUUAGAUACCCUGGUAGUCCACGCCGUAAACGAUGAGUACUAGGUGUAGGAGGUAUCGACCCCUUCUGUGCCGCAGUAAACACAUUAAGUACUCCGCCUGGGAAGUACGAUCGCAAGAUUAAAACUCUAAAGUGAAUUGACGGGGUC
Molecule: ribosomal RNA, 551 nt
Filed under: uncultured bacterium
Lineage: Bacteria
Description: partial 16S ribosomal RNA
Rfam family: Bacterial small subunit ribosomal RNA
Source: RNAcentral